Molecule: ribosomal RNA, 428 nt
Filed under: Actinomycetes bacterium
Lineage: Bacteria; Bacillati; Actinomycetota; Actinomycetes
Description: Actinobacteria bacterium partial 16S ribosomal RNA
Rfam family: Bacterial small subunit ribosomal RNA
Source: RNAcentral
UAGGGAAUCUUCCGCAAUGGGCGAAAGCCUGACGGAGCAACGCCGCGUGAGUGAUGAAGGUCUUCGGAUCGUAAAACUCUGUUAUUAGGGAAGAACAAAUGUGUAAGUAACUAUGCACGUCUUGACGGUACCUAAUCAGAAAGCCACGGCUAACUACGUGCCAGCAGCCGCGGUAAUACGUAGGUGGCAAGCGUUAUCCGGAAUUAUUGGGCGUAAAGCGCGCGUAGGCGGUUUUUUAAGUCUGAUGUGAAAGCCCACGGCUCAACCGUGGAGGGUCAUUGGAAACUGGAAAACUUGAGUGCAGAAGAGGAAAGUGGAAUUCCAUGUGUAGCGGUGAAAUGCGCAGAGAUAUGGAGGAACACCAGUGGCGAAGGCGACUUUCUGGUCUGAACUGACGCUGAUGUGCGAAAGCGUGGGGAUCAAACAGG